This 721-nucleotide long non-coding RNA is filed under the name Strigops habroptila (Kakapo). RNAcentral's name for it is "lncRNA (ENSSHBG00005018074.1)". Lineage: Eukaryota; Metazoa; Chordata; Aves; Psittaciformes; Psittacidae. The record is from RNAcentral.
GGGCAGCGGCUGCCACCAGCGACAAGUCCGCAUGCAAAUCGCCUGCUGCCUCCGGGGCACGGGGCGCUGAGGCGGGAGGCUUCAAUUGUCCCGGCGCUGCCAGGGCUCCCGGUGGUGGGGAGAGCUGCAACUUUCCUCAAAGAGGCACGGAGCGGAACGGGCGAAGAAACUCCCGUCAGUCAGAUGACACAAAGGAAAAGUGCUGCAAGGCAGAUUCCUCACAUGCACAGGAACCUACAGAAGAUCUGAGGAUAUCCAAAGAGAAUGGGAGUGAUCACAACCCUACAGUGAAGUUCCUGGCUGCAGGAUUUCAAUGGAUGCAGCAAUGCAGGAAGCCAGACACACAAGAGUGCUGGAAUCAGUGCUGAGUCAGACUUCAUGUUGAUAGUCCAGACCUUUGCAUCCAUUCUGGGAGAUCUGCCAGUGUUUAGAAGCCAAAACCCGUGUCCACUCCAUAUGGAGAAGGAAGAAUGGCAUAGAAAUAAAUGGUGACCUCAGAAACUUUCUGGAUUCCUAAGCAGACUUUUCCUAAAAAGGGUAGUCUCUGGAUUUGAGUUAAUUUUUGGUUGGUUCAAAGCAUAGUAUAUUCUUGGUGUCAGUUUCCUGUCUCUUUCCACGUAUUUAUUUAGAGCAAAAAAUCACUGCUCUCAUUCAAUAGUUCAGUUAUGCAAGAUACUUUUCAUCUCACAUUAAAAUUUAUAUCUCAUUUGUUAUCCAGAAA